Molecule: ribosomal RNA, 429 nt
Filed under: Pseudomonadota bacterium
Lineage: Bacteria; Pseudomonadati; Pseudomonadota
Description: Proteobacteria bacterium partial 16S ribosomal RNA
Rfam family: Bacterial small subunit ribosomal RNA
Source: RNAcentral
UGGGGAAUAUUGGACAAUGGGCGAAAGCCUGAUCCAGCCAUGCUGCGUGUGUGAAGAAGUUCUUCUGAUUGUAAAGCACUUUAAGUUGGGAGGAAGGGCAGUAAGCGAAUACCUUGCUGUUUUGACGUUACCGACAGAAUAAGCAUCGGCUAACUCUGUGCCAGCAGCCGCGGUAAUACAGAGGGUGCAAGCGUUAAUCGGAAUGACUGGGCGUAAAGCGCGCGUAGGUGGUUCGUUAAGUUGAAUGUGAAAGCCCCGGGCUCAACCUGGGAGCUGCAUCCAAAACUGGCGAGCUAGAGUAGGGCAGAGGGUGGUGGAAUUUCCUGUGUAGCGGUGGAAUGCGUAGAUAUAGGAAGGAACACCAGUGGCGAAGGCGACCACCUGAGAUCAUACUGACACUGAGGUGCGAAAGCGUGGGGAGCAAACAGG